GAUCAUGGCUUAGGACGAACGCUGGCGGCGCGCCUAGCACAUGCAAGUCGAACGAGCAAAGAGGAGCUUGCUUCUCUGAGCGAGUGGCGAACGGGUGAGUAACGCGUGAGGAACCUGCCUCAAAGAGGGGGACAACAGUUGAAAACGACUGCUAAUACCGCAUAAGCCCACGGGUCGGCAUCGACCAGAGGGAAAAGGAGCAAUCCGCUUUGAGAUGGCCUCGCGUCCGAUUAG
This 234-nucleotide ribosomal RNA is filed under the name uncultured bacterium. RNAcentral describes it as "partial 16S ribosomal RNA". It matches the Rfam family "Bacterial small subunit ribosomal RNA", at positions 15 to 244 of the family's 1533-position model. The record is from RNAcentral.